UCCCUGGUGGUCCAGUGGCUGAGACACCAAACUCCCAACGCAGGAGGCCCAGGUUCAAUCCCUGGUCAGGGAA
Molecule: transfer RNA, 73 nt
Filed under: Bos taurus (domestic cattle)
Lineage: Eukaryota; Metazoa; Chordata; Mammalia; Artiodactyla; Bovidae
Also listed under: 2 other names
Rfam family: tRNA
About the family: Transfer RNA (tRNA) molecules are approximately 80 nucleotides in length.
Source: Rfam by way of RNAcentral